This 995-nucleotide ribosomal RNA is filed under the name uncultured bacterium. RNAcentral's name for it is "bacterial SSU rRNA". It matches the Rfam family "Bacterial small subunit ribosomal RNA", at positions 8 to 1001 of the family's 1533-position model. The record is from RNAcentral.
AGAGUUUGAUCCUGGCUCAGGACGAACGCUGGCGGCGUGCUUAAUGCAUGCAAGUCGAACAAAGAACCCUCGCUGGGUAACCAAUGAGGGACUCUUAGUGGCGAACGGGUGAGUAACACGAUGAGAAACCUGCCCCGGAGACCGGGAUAGCCCAGGGAAACCUGGAUUAAUACCGGAUACCCUCGAAUGACCGCAUGGUCUACUGAGGAAAUGGUCCGCCGCUCCGGGAUGGUCUCGCGACCUAUCAGCUUGUUGGUGAGGUAACGGCUCACCAUGGCAACGACGGGUAGCUGGUCUGAGAGGACGAUCAGCCACACUGGGACUGAGACACGGCCCAGACUCCUACGGGAGGCAGCAGCAGGGAAUAUUGCACAAUGGGCGAAAGCCUGAUGCAGCGACGCCGCGUGGGGGAUGAAUGCCUUCGGGUUGUAAACCCCUUUCAGGAGGGACGAAGCGAAAGUGACGGUACCUCCAGAAGAAGCCCCGGCCAACUACGUGCCAGCAGCCGCGGUAACACGGAGGGUGCGAGCGUUGCGCGGAAUCACUGGGCUUAAAGCGUACGUAGGCGGACAGGCAGGCAUCUUGUGAAAGCCCUCGGCUCAACCGAGGAAUUGCUCGGUGAACCGCCUGUCUUGAGGUGAGUAGGGGCUGUCGGAACGAUAGGUGGAGCGGUGAAAUGCGUUGAUAUCUAUCGGAACGCCAAAGGCGAAGGCAGACAGCUGGGCUCAUUCUGACGCUGAGGUACGAAAGCGUGGGGAGCGAACGGGAUUAGAUACCCCGGUAGUCCACGCCGUAAACGAUGUGCACUAGAUCGAGGGCGUUCUGACACCACUCUCGGUCGAAGCAAAAGUGUUAAGUGCACCGCCUGGGGAGUACGGUCGCAAGGCUAAAACUCAAAGGAAUUGACGGGGGCUCACACAAGCGGUGGAACAUGUGGCUUAAUUCUAAGCAACCCCAAAAACCUUUUCCUGGGUUUUACAUGCCCCGGAUUAAUU